CCCGCCACUGUACCUGUCUGGUAAUGCAGUGACUAGUACAAUCCAGAGGUGAGCUGACAGAAAAUGCCAACUUAGGAAACAGAGUUACUCUUUCUGUGGUGGGUAACUUUGUGCCGAAGUUUGGGAACACAA
Molecule: small nucleolar RNA, 132 nt
Organism: Apteryx haastii (Great spotted kiwi)
Lineage: Eukaryota; Metazoa; Chordata; Aves; Apterygiformes; Apterygidae
Source: Ensembl